This 492-nucleotide ribosomal RNA is filed under the name uncultured bacterium. RNAcentral describes it as "partial 16S ribosomal RNA". It matches the Rfam family "Bacterial small subunit ribosomal RNA", at positions 29 to 507 of the family's 1533-position model. The record is from RNAcentral.
AGUGAACGCUGGCGGUAUGCCUAACACAUGCAAGUCGAACGGCAACACAAUAAGCUCUUGCUCUUACCGGUGGCGGGUGGCGGACGGGUGAGGCAUAGAUCGGAUUCUACUUUUUCGGGGGUGAUAACGUAAGGCAACUUACGCUAAUACCGCAUACGACCUACGGGUUAAAGCAGUGGAUCUUCAGACCUUGCGCGAUUGAAUGAGCCGAUGUCGGAUUAGCUAGUUGGCUGGGUAAAGGCCCACCAAGGCGACGAUCCGUAGCUGACCUGAGAGGAUGAUCAGCCACACUGGAGCUGAGACACGGUCCAGACUCCUACGGGAGGCAGCAGUAGGGAAUCUUGGGCAAUGGGCGAAAGCCUGACCCAGCAAUACCGCGUGAGUGAAGAAGGUCUUCGGGUUGUAAAGCCCUUUUAUUGGGAAAGAAAAGAAGUGUAAGAAUACACGGACGUCCUGACGGUACCUAAAGAAUAAGCCCCGGCUAACUUCGUG